Molecule: ribosomal RNA, 704 nt
Filed under: uncultured Eubacteriales bacterium
Lineage: Bacteria; Bacillati; Bacillota; Clostridia; Eubacteriales
Description: bacterial SSU rRNA
Rfam family: Bacterial small subunit ribosomal RNA
Source: RNAcentral
CGGGAUUUAGUAGACAGAAGCUUCGGUGGAAGAUUACUAAUGAGAGUGGCGAACGGGUGAGUAACGCGUGAGCAACCUGCCUAUGACAGUGGGAUAGCCUCGGGAAACCGGGAUUAAUACCGCAUAAAAUCGUAGAAACACAUGUUUUAACGGUCAAAGAUUUAUCGGUCAUAGAUGGGCUCGCGUCUGAUUAGCUAGUUGGUGAGAUAACAGCCCACCAAGGCGACGAUCAGUAGCCGGUCUGAGAGGAUGAACGGCCACAUUGGAACUGAGACACGGUCCAAACUCCUACGGGAGGCAGCAGUGGGGAAUAUUGCGCAAUGGGGGAAACCCUGAUGCAGCGACGCCGCGUGAACGAAGAAGGUAUUCGUAUCGUAAAGUUCUGUCCUAUGGGAAGAUAAUGACAGUACCAUAGAAGAAAGCUCCGGCUAAAUACGUGCCAGCAGCCGCGGUAAUACGUAUGGAGCGAGCGUUGUCCGGAAUUAUUGGGCGUAAAGGGUACGCAGGCGGUUUAAUAAGUCGAAUGUUAAAGGUCAGGGCUCAACCCCGUAAAGCAUUGGAAACUGAUAAACUUGAGUAGUGGAGAGGAAAGUGGAAUUCCUAGUGUAGUGGUGAAAUACGUAGAUAUUAGGAGGAAUACCAGUAGCGAAGGCGACUUUCUGGACACAAACUGACGCUGAGGUACGAAAGCGUGGGGAGCAAAC